CAAGAGAAACAUCUUCCUUCAAUCGACAAGACUGCCAUACUUUGGCAACAUCGAUGAGUGGAGUAUCUACAUUCGAUGUGAGAUGCUCAGGUGGAGUCAACAGCGCAUUAAGCCAUUUUUUGAAUUCAACCUCCUGGUUCUCUACCCAGUUAUAAUCGUAGUAUAGAGUACUGCAAAAGUUCACCUGGCUAGGAAUGGAUCUUCUGUUGUGGUUGCAGCGAAUGGAUCAGGGUUGCAAAGUCUAGUAAGAAAAGAAUCUGGAUCAUGCAGCUUCAUACUAACUUCAUUUUCAAAGCCCUUACUUGAUUCAGUGUUACAUUUUCUUCUAGUCACUCCAGCGAGUGAUAGCUUUGUAAUCUGUACUCCAGGUAUUGAA
This 376-nucleotide unclassified non-coding RNA is filed under the name Athalia rosae (coleseed sawfly). Its description in RNAcentral is "misc RNA ENSAEAG00005012843.1". The record is from RNAcentral. Lineage: Eukaryota; Metazoa; Arthropoda; Insecta; Hymenoptera; Athaliidae.